Molecule: long non-coding RNA, 65 nt
Filed under: Taeniopygia guttata (zebra finch)
Lineage: Eukaryota; Metazoa; Chordata; Aves; Passeriformes; Estrildidae
Description: lncRNA (ENSTGUG00000025479.1)
Source: RNAcentral
CACAGGCUGUAGGCAGCUCUGUACAGAUGCAAAAUUGAAGCCCUUUGGACAGAGAAGCAAUGGCA